RNAcentral lists this ribosomal RNA (257 nucleotides) under uncultured bacterium. RNAcentral's name for it is "partial 16S ribosomal RNA". It matches the Rfam family "Bacterial small subunit ribosomal RNA", at positions 524 to 776 of the family's 1533-position model. The record is from RNAcentral.
UACGGAGGGUGCGAGCGUUGUCCGGAAUUAUUGGGCGUAAAGAGCUCGUAGGCGGUCUGUCGCGUCGGCUGUGGAAAACUCGGGGCUCAACCCCCGAGCCUGCAGUCGAUACGGGCAGACUAGAGUGCUGUAGGGGAGACUGGAAUUCCUGGUGUAGCGGUGAAAUGCGCAGAUAUCAGGAGGAACACCAGUGGCGAAGGCGGCCCCGCUGGACAAGUAUUGACGCUGAGGUGCGAAAGCGUGGGGGAGCAAACAGG